GUUAAUUUGGCAGAUUAGUGCAAUAGAUUUAGAAUCUUUUAAAGUGAAUUUUUAUUUACAUUUAAUAC
This 68-nucleotide transfer RNA is filed under the name Agrilus lacroixi. RNAcentral describes it as "tRNA-Leu". The record is from RNAcentral. Lineage: Eukaryota; Metazoa; Arthropoda; Insecta; Coleoptera; Buprestidae.